UACGUAGGGUGCGAGCGUUGCCCGGAUUUUUUGGGCGUAAAGGGCGCGUAGGCGGUCACGCACGUCCGUUGUGAAAUCGCUCGGCUCAACUGGGCGGGGUCAGCGGAUACGGCGUGGCUGGAGCAAGCUAGGGGGCAAUGGAAUUCCCGGUGUAGUGGUGGAAUGCGUAGAUAUCGGGAGGAACACCAGUGGCGAAGGCGGUUGCCUGGAGCUUUGCUGACGCUGAGAAGCGAAAGCAUGGGGAGCGAACAGG
RNAcentral lists this ribosomal RNA (253 nucleotides) under uncultured bacterium. RNAcentral describes it as "partial 16S ribosomal RNA". It matches the Rfam family "Bacterial small subunit ribosomal RNA", at positions 524 to 776 of the family's 1533-position model. The record is from RNAcentral.